AGAGUUUGAUCAUGGCUCAGAUUGAACGCUGGCGGCAUGCCUAACACAUGCAAGUCGAACGGUAACGACUUCAUUACCUUCGGGUAAUGAAGGGCGACGAGUGGCGGACGGGUGAGUAACGCAUAGGAAUCUGCCCAGUAGUGGGGGACAACUCCGGGAAACCGGAGCUAAUACCGCAUNCGCCCUACGGGGGAAAGCGGGGGAUCUUCGGACCUCGCGCUAUUGGAUGAGCCUAUGUCUGAUUAGCUUGUUGGUAGGGUAACGGCCUACCAAGGCAACGAUCAGUAGCUGGUCUGAGAGGAUGAUCAGCCACACUGCGACUGAGACACGGCGCAGACUCCUACGGGAGGCAGCAGUGGGGAAUAUUGCACAAUGGGCGCAAGCCUGNNGCAGCAAUUCCGCGUGUGUGAAGAAGGCCUGCGGGUUGUAAAGCACUUUCAGUAGCGAAGAAAAGCCUGAGG
RNAcentral lists this ribosomal RNA (461 nucleotides) under uncultured bacterium. RNAcentral's name for it is "bacterial SSU rRNA". It matches the Rfam family "Bacterial small subunit ribosomal RNA", at positions 8 to 459 of the family's 1533-position model. The record is from RNAcentral.